UCGAAGAGCUGAGGGUAGCGUUGUCGCAUCUCCUCCUCCAAUUCCCAGGUAGCUUCCCUUUCAGUGUGGUUGGUCCACUGGACUUUAACAUAGGGAAUGGUGCGCCUUCGGAGGAUUUGCUCUUUUCUGUCUAUGAUGCGCAGGGGAGCCUCCUCAUAGGUUAAAUCUUCAUUUAAUUGCAGAGGCUCAUGUGGCACCACAUGGCUGGGAUCCGGAACCUACCUCCGUAACAAGGAGAUGUGGAAGACGUUGUGUACACCUGAUAGCUCCAGGGGUAGGGCCAAUUUGUAGGCAACCUUGCCUAUCCUGGCAAGAACCUCGAAUGGGCCGAUGUAGCGAGGACUUAGCUUGCCGUGUCUUCCGAAUCGGGUAAUGCCCUUCGAUGGAGAAAUUUUCAGGAAGACAAAGUUCCCCUCCAAAAAUUCCAAGGCCCUUCUUCCUCUGUCAGUCCAUCUUUUCUGUCUAU
RNAcentral lists this long non-coding RNA (466 nucleotides) under Phoenix dactylifera (date palm). RNAcentral's name for it is "long non-coding RNA (PDAC_LNC006879)". The record is from RNAcentral. Lineage: Eukaryota; Viridiplantae; Streptophyta; Magnoliopsida; Arecales; Arecaceae.